GGAAUUAUUGGGCGUAAAGAGCUCGUAGGCGGUUUGUCGCGUCUGCCGUGAAAGUCCGGGGCUCAACUCCGGAUCUGCGGUGGGUACGGGCAGACUAGAGUGAUGUAGGGGAGACUGGAAUUCCUGGUGUAGCGGUGAAAUGCGCAGAUAUCAGGAGGAACACCGAUGGCGAAGGCAGGUCUCUGGGCAUUAACUGACGCUGAGGAGCGAAAGCAUGGGGAGCGAACAGGAUUAGAUACCCUGGUAGUCCAUGCCGUAAACGUUGGGCACUAGGUGUGGGGGACAUUCCACGUUUUCCGCGCCGUAGCUAACGCAUUAAGUGCCCCGCCUGGGGAGUACGGCCGCAAGGCUAAAACUCAAAGGAAUUGACGGGGGCCCGCACAAGCGGCGGAGCAUGCGGAUUAAUUCGAUGCAACGCGAAGAACCUUACCAAGGCUUGACAUGGACCGGACCGCCGCAGAAAUGUGGUUUCCCCUUUGGGGCCGGUUCACAGGUGGUGCAUGGUUGUCGUCAGCUCGUGUCGUGAGAUGUUGGGUUAAGUCCCGCAACGAGCGCAACCCUCGUUCCAUGUUGCCAGCGCGUAAUGGCGGGGACUCAUGGGAGACUGCCGGGGUCAACUCGGAGGAAGGUGGGGACGACGUCAAAUCAUCAUGCCCCUUAUGUCUUGGGCUUCACGCAUGCUACAAUGGCCGGUACAAAGGGUUGCGAUACUGUGAGGUGGAGCUAAUCCCAAAAAGCCGGUCUCAGUUCGGAUUGGGGUCUGCAACUCGACCCCAUGAAGUCGGAGUCGCUAGUAAUCGCAGAUCAGCAACGCUGCGGUGAAUACGUUCCCGGGCCUUGUACACACCGCCCGUCAAGUCACGAAAGUUGGUAACACCCGAAGCC
RNAcentral lists this ribosomal RNA (885 nucleotides) under Arthrobacter sp. Its description in RNAcentral is "bacterial SSU rRNA". It matches the Rfam family "Bacterial small subunit ribosomal RNA", at positions 547 to 1428 of the family's 1533-position model. Lineage: Bacteria; Bacillati; Actinomycetota; Actinomycetes; Micrococcales; Micrococcaceae. The record is from RNAcentral.